Pezoporus occidentalis (night parrot) is the source of this 628-nucleotide long non-coding RNA. RefSeq lists it as uncharacterized. Lineage: Eukaryota; Metazoa; Chordata; Aves; Psittaciformes; Psittacidae. The transcript has 3 exons. The record is from RefSeq and is a predicted model, not a curated record.
UGGAGACUGUGGAAGAAGAGAAGAAAGGCACUGCUUCACCACUUUUCUAGAGAGCAGCUAGCAGAGCAGCCUGACCAAUGUUGGCAAAGAAUACUUUGGCCACAAAAGAGUGAAGGGGUUUUGGUGCUGGUGAGGAUGAAGAGAAGCAGCCUGGAGAGCUAUGCAUGGAGCUUGGCAAACACCGUUGCAGAAUGACAGGAGAAAUACUAGAGAGAAGAUGUUUUGGAAGAUAUUACACAUCUGGUGGGUACUAAAAUACAUGCAAGACAAAUGCUGAUAUCAUAAAUUUGCUCUUACUUAUGCAUAGCAUUCUCGAUUACAGAAAUAUGGCAAGCAAUGGAAAGGAGUACAGUGGGAGUCCAGCAAGUAUUUAGAAGCAGCUGAGAGGUGGGCAUCAGCCAGAGAUCAUACUCUCAGAAGCCAACUAAUAUGAAAUCAGGUCCCUAUUUAUCUGCAAUACUUCCACAGAAGAAACAUAAUAAGCAGUGAGGAUAAAGCAGCAUCUGAUGUGUCCAGAGUUUAAUCCAUCAUCUCUUAAAAGGAAGUGAUGCAUCCUGAAUGCACCCACCACUUUACCUUAUAUAGCUGAAGCUUUCCUCAUGGGAUUGAAACUAAAAUCUGACUCAAC